Molecule: long non-coding RNA, 2231 nt
Organism: Daphnia pulex (common water flea)
Lineage: Eukaryota; Metazoa; Arthropoda; Branchiopoda; Diplostraca; Daphniidae
Exons: 4
Source: RefSeq, a predicted model, not a curated record
UCCUGGGACCAAGAGCGGCUCCUUUAUUGACUGGUUCUUCACGAAUUGCUUCUGCUGACUCCGGAGCCCAAACCAAAAUAUUGCGAUCAUUGGCUCCGCUAUAGAGAGACUGUACAUUUUCGUUGUAAGCACAACAGUGUUCCAUAAACGCAUUCGGCAAUCCGUACCUACGGAAAUCAAGAAAAGGCCGUCGGCAGUAAACGACAAACCGUGGACAUUCCCGUUGUGUGCUGUAGUCUUCUCAACAUCAGCAUGAUUUCGCCCAUUAUAUUGAUCCAUUGAAAACAAACAACUUCUAGCGGCUCUGACAUCCCACAUUAAAAGCCGAUUAUCCAUUGAACCGGAAGCAAGCUGGAACUCCUGCAUUGGUGACCACUUGACACUCAAUAUUGAAGAGGUGUGGCUUCUCAAUUCAUGCGUUGUCGAUCCACUCCGAAGAUCAGCCAGAAACACUUGGUUUGCUGUACUUGCAACUAAACACAGAAACAACCAAGUUGUGUUGAGUUGCAUUUGGAGACAUGUGAUGGUGGUAUAUCUUACCAUUCACAAGUACAACAUCUGCAGGAACUUGAGCAUUGGCAUCCCAAAUUUUCAAGUUUUUAUCCAUGCCACUAGAAAGGAACAUUCCUGUAUCCAAAGGGUACCACUGAACACAUUCAACACUGUACUUGUGGCAGUGACGAUUGCUUUGCCUGUCAAUCUUGCCCACAUUUUUACAAGUAAACUGCAAAUUUCCAGAAAGAUUCAAAACAUCAUGAAUGUGAAUGCUUCCAUCUGCACCACCAGAGAGUAAACUAUUAAAAAAUCUAUUGUGUUAAUCCCUGCAGAAUGAGAGUUUUCAACUUCUUGAAAAUUACUAAGGCGUAAAGCAGAGAUUCUCUUGGUUGCUUGGCUUGACCGAAAUUUCCUGGCGUCAAGUAGUCCUGUUUUCAAGCUAAAAAUAGCUUCCACGUCGUUCAUUUUUCAGCUUACAUUUAGGUAUUCGUAUAAAUAAUUCAUAAUUCGGUUAAAAACACGACAAAAUGUAAACUGCCAAUUUUGUAUUUAUUUAAAAUAUCGUCUGCUAUAAAUAACAGACCGACACAGAGCUGUCAUAUUUCGGUUAUGGUUCGACACAAAUAUUUUAUUAUUAAAAAUGUUUCAAUUUCUAAGAAAAAAGAGUAGAUCGCGAAACUUUUUUUAUCUGAUAUUUUUGUUUAUUGUAUCCUGGGUAAUAUUUUUUGGUAAAUAUUUGUUUUCCCGUUCCAAAAAUCUAAAACAUCAAGCACAACCAGGUACGUUGUAGGGCCAGUCACAUACUGCAGAAAAAAAUAGAUUUUAUUAUUUUGCAAGAACAUAGUAAUAGUUCUGAAAUGCAAAAUGUACCGUUAAUUGCAGAGUUGAAAACAAGACUACUCUGGCAAUAAUAAGUUUGGAUUCUCGCGUUAACACAUCGAUAAUAUUUGCUGCAAUUGGCAGGAUCGGCGUAGUAUGUUCCUUCACUUGUGCAGGUCACUAUAAAAUGAGUUAGAAUUAAAUAUGUAACUUUUUUGAAAAUCCGUUUUUUAAAAUAGUUCGUUGAUUAAUGUACUGGCUUUGGUUGUUGUUAUAGGAAACGGAGUUGGAGUUGGAGCCGGAGUAGCAGUAUUGAAAGGGCGUCCUUCAAAAAUGAAAUUUAAUUUAAUUUAAUUUGUUAUUUAGAUCAUUUAUUAUUAAAUUUAAUUUUAAUUUAAAAACUUUUUUAACGCACCUUCAAGUGUAGCAGUUAUGGCGUUUGAGAGCGGUCUGAAAACGUGAGAUGAUGAUUAUAUAAUACGUUACUUUUAGAUGCGAAUUGUCAAUUCAAUUUACCGUGGACCCAUUUGGCAGACGCCGUUAAAGUCAUCCAAGGUGAGCUCCCAAAACAUGAUACCACCGAGACCUUUACUCAUGGCAUAUUUUACCUUGGUGAUGACCAUGUCAAUGUCGUCCCACGAAACCCAAGAAGUACCCUGGUAGGCGUAAGGCCCCAUUUUUCCAGUUGGGUCAGUGACUACCUAAAUGUUAAAGAUGGUGUUCACACAAAGAAAUAUAUUCAGAACAUGUCAAGUCAGUGACUACCGUCCAGCCGCUCUGUUGGUAACUACAUAUCUCGUACAGCGAAAGGAAGCCAUCUUGGCCGGUAUAUGGGCCUUGAGGGCCAGCGCCGAUAGCUGGAGACAACAAUGCUGUUUGUGACGCGCUAGCUAAUCUAAAAGUACGACCGUAGCUGG